Molecule: ribosomal RNA, 292 nt
Filed under: uncultured Alphaproteobacteria bacterium
Lineage: Bacteria; Pseudomonadati; Pseudomonadota; Alphaproteobacteria
Description: partial 16S ribosomal RNA
Source: RNAcentral
GGACUACUGGGGUUUCUAAUCCUGUUUGCUCCCCACGCUUUCGUGCAUCAGUGUCAGUUACAGGCCAGUGAGCCGCCUUCGCCACCGGUGUUCCUCCCAAUAUCUACGAAUUUUACCUCUACACUGGGAAUUCCACUCACCUCUCCUGUACUCAAGCGAUGCAGUCUCAAAAGCAAUUCCUGGGUUGAGCCCAGGGAUUUCACUCCUGACUUGCAAAGCCACCUACGCACCCUUUACGCCCAGUAAUUCCGAACAACGCUAGCCCCCUUCGUAUUACCGCGGCGGCUGGCAC